Molecule: ribosomal RNA, 301 nt
Filed under: uncultured bacterium
Lineage: Bacteria
Description: partial 16S ribosomal RNA
Rfam family: Bacterial small subunit ribosomal RNA
Source: RNAcentral
CAGCAGCCACGGGAAUACGUAGGUGGCAAGCGUUGUCCGGAAUUAUUGGGCGUAAAGGGCUCGCAGGCGGUUUCUUAAGCCUGAUGUGAAAGCCCCCGGCUCAACCGGGGAGGGUCAUUGGAAACUGGGAAACUUGAGUGCAGAAGAGGAGAGUGGAAUUCCACGUGUAGCGGUGAAAUGCGUAGAGAUGUGGAGGAACACCAGUGGCGAAGGCGACUCUCUGGUCUGUAACUGACGCUGAGGAGCGAAAGCGUGGGGAGCGAACAGGAUUAGAUACCCCGGUAGUCCCUGUCUCUUAUAC